RNAcentral lists this ribosomal RNA (497 nucleotides) under uncultured bacterium. Its description in RNAcentral is "partial 16S ribosomal RNA". The stretch from base 20 to 338 matches the Rfam family "Bacterial small subunit ribosomal RNA", at positions 47 to 358 of the family's 1533-position model. The record is from RNAcentral.
GAUGAACGCUGGCGGCGUGCCUAAUACAUGCAAGUCGAGCGAACGGACGAGAAGCUUGCUUCUCUGAUGUUAGCGGCGGACGGGUGAGUAACACGUGGAUAACCUACCUAUAAGACUGGGUUAACUUCGGGAAACCGGAGCUAAUACCGGAUAAUAUUUUGAACCGCAUGGUUCAAAAGUGAAAGACGGUCUUGCUGUCACUUAUGGAUGGAUCCGCGCUGCAUUAGCUAGUUGGUAAGGUAACGGCUUACCAAGGCAACGAUGCAUAGCCGACCUGAGAGGACGAAGGGCAACAGGAGGAAAGAGAGAGGGCGGGGAGAACGCAGGGAGGAAGAAGGAGGGAGGAGUCAGAAAGGGGAGAAAGAAGGAAGGAUCAAAAAUGAGGGAGUAAGGAAGGUAUAAGGAACGUAAAACACUGUGAUGAGGGAAGAAAAGAAGGGCAAGUAAAAAUGCAAGGAUGAAAGGGAAAAAAUAAGAAAGAAAAGAACAAGGAAAGG